Molecule: non-coding RNA, 178 nt
Filed under: Gammaproteobacteria bacterium
Lineage: Bacteria; Pseudomonadati; Pseudomonadota; Gammaproteobacteria
Description: 6S RNA
Rfam family: 6S / SsrS RNA
About the family: E. coli 6S RNA was the first non coding RNA to be sequenced, but its function was unknown until recently. It consists of 184 nucleotides that fold into an extended hairpin structure with a large single-stranded internal bulge.
Source: RNAcentral
UUUUUACCGGAGAUAUCACCGGUUGGUUUUGUACCGAACCGUAUUCAUCUUUCUGGAGUAAUCGCUGGUCGUGUCGGUGUACACGCCCUACGGGGAAGUCUAAAGACACAGUCGGGUUCUCCACCUGUUACCUAUCGGUUCAGGAUCGGAUCAGUCGUCGUGGUAUCCCGGUGGUUCU